GACGAACGCUGGCGGCGUGCUUAACACAUGCAAGUCGAACGGAAAGGCCCUGCUUGCAGGGUACUCGAGUGGCGAACGGGUGAGUAACACGUGGGUGAUCUGCCCUGCACUUCGGGAUAAGCUUGGGAAACUGGGUCUAAUACCGGAUAGGACCGCACUUUAGUGUGUGUGGUGGAAAGUUUUUUCGGUGUAGGAUGAGCUCGCGGCCUAUCAGCUUGUUGGUGGGGUAAUGGCCUACCAAGGCGGCGACGGGUAGCCGGCCUGAGAGGGUGUACGGCCACAUUGGGACUGAGAUACGGCCCAGACGCCUACGGGAGGCAGCAGUGGGGAAUAUUGCACAAUGGGCGCAAGCCUGAUGCAGCGACGCCGCGUGGGGGAUGAAGGCCUUCGGGUUGUAAACGCCGUUCGCUAGGGACGAAGCUUUUUGUGACGGUACCUAGAUAAGAAGCACCGGCUAACUACGUG
Molecule: ribosomal RNA, 465 nt
Filed under: uncultured bacterium
Lineage: Bacteria
Description: partial 16S ribosomal RNA
Rfam family: Bacterial small subunit ribosomal RNA
Source: RNAcentral